Molecule: non-coding RNA, 1715 nt
Organism: Poecilia reticulata (guppy)
Lineage: Eukaryota; Metazoa; Chordata; Actinopteri; Cyprinodontiformes; Poeciliidae
Source: RefSeq, a predicted model, not a curated record
UCCUAAAGAAACCUCAACGUGAGUGUCUCAUCUUUUCUAUAUCAUAGACCCGCGCAGUCAGCGCUGUCUGAAGAGCCUGGGCUCUGCAGAAAAUCCUGGCAUCCAUAGGACAGGGAAGCUGGUCGGAGUUGAUGGGAAGAAGGAUGGAGCUAAACCCUGGGCUAUCCGGAAGGGAAACCUUUUAGGGACUGUGGAAGAAAACUUGAGAUCCAGAUGUUGGACUCUCGCUGCAGAUGUGCUUCCAUGCAGGCCAAGAAAUCCUAACUAGAGUUGUUGUGCGCACACGUGAAACCGAGCUUGGACAAUUGACAUGAACUCAUAACUUGGAAAAAGAGAGGCACAUUCACCGACCUACGGCUGCAUCUGGGAGAAGAAAUCACCCGACUGUGCCUCUAACUGGCAGGAGAGGAAAAAAAAGAAUGACCAGACAUUUGCCGUACGAGUCUGCUUUCGUCUUGAAAGCGAAUAAACGCAGCCGAUAUAAAUGCUGUAAAUUUCCUGCUGAAAACAAAAAAAGCCUUUGAUGACCUAUUCGUGAUGCUGCUGUGAGUGGAGUGACCCGACUGUACUCAUUAAAACCAAUGGGACGGAUCAUUCUCCACUAAUUGUUUUCCGCUGACAAAUGGUUCCUCCGACUCUCAAAGACUGCUGCAGGGGCCGCCGUGCAGCUCCAACACGCCAACUUUACUAAUGAGAACUGCCGAUAAUCUCUGUGAUUCACACCUGUUCCAUGCUCCACUGGGCAAUUGUGAAUCCUAUUAGGGGACGCCCCUCUGCACCCUCACACCCCCUCCCCGUCCACACUACCUGGCACUAAUCCAUCAGAGGGGCAGUCAGGCUGUGCGUCGCCCCACAACCACCCAUCCCUGAUACCCGCCAGUGCCCAGUGCUUCAGCAGAGGCCCCAGCUGGGGGACCGCCACAGCUUGGUCAUUAUCAGAUGACGGAUAGCUUCAUAUCAGAUUCAUGAGAAUUUUUCUCUCUAAAUCACUCGGGAGAAUCUCAGAAAACCGAUGUCACCUUGGAUGAGACUCUCAAGAAAGAAUCUGCUCCGUGGUGCGCCCUCAGUUUUUUUUUUUUUUUUUCUUGAUAAUGAGUUUUCUGAUAAAUUCAAUGUCCUGAGGAAUUUACCCAUCCAAGAAUGCUCUCAAGUAAAGGUCUUCAAUUCCACACAUGCAGUACUCCAGUUAUUGUUGUUGUUGUAGGGAACACAAUGCCUUAUUCACUGCUAAAUUCAUUUUAUCUGUAUUUUAUGCGCAACAUUUUUCGAAAAGCAUUUUUUGUGCCAAGAUUACUUCCAACUUUGCGAAGUUAAACAGUUGUUUCUUUAAUCGCACAGCUCAAACGAUCAAAGUGUAUUCUUACAAUUUUAUACUGAAAAGAUUCACCAUUGAUGUAAGGCAAAAUGUUCAUCUAUUUACUCUAAAGCUGAUAAUUAUGAUCAUUCAACUUUGUUGAUGUGUGGUUCAAGACGGAGAAUGACGGUCAACAAAAAUAAGCUGGCACAAAAAUAAAUGAGUGAAUACGUCACUGGUGAGCUGUUGUCUCUUAACUGGGAGACAAUGUGUUUUAUUAUUGUGAGAAGCAAUGGUUAUUUAAUAAAGUUAAAGCAUUUUUGUCAAAUUAUGCUUCCGCAAUUGUUACGUUGUCUUAACACUCCAUUGUAUUUUAGUGCAAUUUAAAUGUUUUCAAAAAUAAACUUCCCAUAAAAAAAUA